Molecule: ribosomal RNA, 324 nt
Filed under: uncultured bacterium
Lineage: Bacteria
Description: bacterial SSU rRNA
Rfam family: Bacterial small subunit ribosomal RNA
Source: RNAcentral
GAGCGAUCGCGUCAGUGGCAGACGGGUGAGUAACGCGUGGGAACAUACCCUCCGGUUCGGAAUAACUCAGGGAAACUUGAGCUAAUACCGGAUACGUCGGCGACGAGAAAGAUUGAUCGCCGGAGGAUUGGCCCGCGUUCGAUUAGCUUGUUGGUGAGGUAACGGCUCACCAAGGCGACGAUCGAUAGCUGGUCUGAGAGGAUGAUCAGCCACAUUGGGACUGAGACACGGCCCAAACUCCUACGGGAGGCAGCAGUGGGGAAUAUUGGACAAUGGGCGCAAGCCUGAUCCAGCCAUGCCGCGUGAGUGAUGACGGCCUUAGGG